Molecule: transfer RNA, 67 nt
Filed under: Modiolus nipponicus
Lineage: Eukaryota; Metazoa; Mollusca; Bivalvia; Mytilida; Modiolidae
Description: tRNA-Leu
Source: RNAcentral
AACUGGCUGGCAGAUUAUAUGUGCUUGGUUUAGGACCAGGUUAUGGGCUAGAUAAGCUCGCUUGUUA